RNAcentral lists this ribosomal RNA (451 nucleotides) under uncultured Fibrobacter sp. RNAcentral describes it as "partial 16S ribosomal RNA". It matches the Rfam family "Bacterial small subunit ribosomal RNA", at positions 341 to 792 of the family's 1533-position model. Lineage: Bacteria; Pseudomonadati; Fibrobacterota; Fibrobacteria; Fibrobacterales; Fibrobacteraceae. The record is from RNAcentral.
ACGGAAGGCAGCAGUGAGGGAUAUUGCACAAUGGGGGAAACCCUGAUGCAGCAACGCCACGUGUGGGAAGAAGCAUUUCGGUGUGUAAACCACUGUCGUGAGGGAAUAAUGCUUGGCCUCGGCCAAGUUGAAUGUACCUCGAAAGGAAGCACCGGCAAACUUCGUGCCAGCAGCCGCGGUAAUACGAGGGGUGCAAGCGUUGUUCGGAAUCACUGGGCGUAAAGGGAGCGCAGGCGGAGAUGCAAGCAGUCUGUACAAUACCGGGGCCCAACCCCGGACCUGUAGACUGGACUGUUUCUCUUGGAUAGUUCAGGGGCAAGCGGAAUUCCUGGUGUAGCGGUGGAAUGCGUAGAGAUCAGGAAGAACACCGAUGGCGAAGGCAGCUUGCUGGGGACUUAUCGACGCUCAUGCUCGAAAGUGUGGGUAGCAAACAGGAUUAGAUACCCUGGUA